Molecule: ribosomal RNA, 445 nt
Filed under: uncultured bacterium
Lineage: Bacteria
Description: partial 16S ribosomal RNA
Rfam family: Bacterial small subunit ribosomal RNA
Source: RNAcentral
GUGAGGAAUAUUGGACAAUGGGCGCAAGCCUGAUCCAGCCAUGCCGCGUGCAGGAAGACGCAUCUAUGGUGUGUAAACUGCUUUUGUACGGGAAGAAACACUCCCUCGUGAGGGAGCUUGACGGUACCGUAAGAAUAAGGAUCGGCUAACUCCGUGCCAGCAGCCGCGGUAAUACGGAGGAUCCAAGCGUUAUCCGGAAUCAUUGUGUUUAAAGGGUCCGUAGGCGGUUUAAUAAGUCAGUGGUGAAAGCCCAUCGCUCAACGAUGGAACGGCCAUUGAUACUGUUAGACUUGAAUUACAAGGAAGUAACUAGAAUAUGUAGUGUAGCGGUGAAAUGCUUAGAUAUUACAUGGAAUACCAAUUGCGAAGGCAGGUUACUACUUGUGGAUUGACGCUGAUGGACGAAAGCGUGGGGAGCGAACAGGAUUAGAAACCCUGGUAGUCC